Molecule: transfer RNA, 73 nt
Filed under: Saprospiraceae bacterium
Lineage: Bacteria; Pseudomonadati; Bacteroidota; Saprospiria; Saprospirales; Saprospiraceae
Description: tRNA-Val
Source: RNAcentral
GGGUGUUUAGCUCAGUUGGUUCAGGCGCUACUUUGACAGAGUAGAGGUCACUGGUUCGAGCCAGUAAUACCCA